This 345-nucleotide ribosomal RNA is filed under the name Weissella cibaria. Its description in RNAcentral is "bacterial SSU rRNA". It matches the Rfam family "Bacterial small subunit ribosomal RNA", at positions 350 to 687 of the family's 1533-position model. Lineage: Bacteria; Bacillati; Bacillota; Bacilli; Lactobacillales; Lactobacillaceae. The record is from RNAcentral.
AGCAGUAGGGAAUCUUCCACAAUGGGCGAAAGCCUGAUGGAGCAACGCCGCGUGUGUGAUGAAGGGUUUCGGCUCGUAAAACACUGUUGUAAGAGAAGAAUGACAUUGAGAGUAACUGUUCAAUGUGUGACGGUAUCUUACCAGAAAGGAACGGCUAAAUACGUGCCAGCAGCCGCGGUAAUACGUAUGUUCCAAGCGUUAUCCGGAUUUAUUGGGCGUAAAGCGAGCGCAGACGGUUAUUUAAGUCUGAAGUGAAAGCCCUCAGCUCAACUGAGGAAUUGCUUUGGAAACUGGAUGACUUGAGUGCAGUAGAGGAAAGUGGAACUCCAUGUGUAGCGGUGGAAU